UGGAACUUGCAAAAAAAAAAUAUAGCAAGUAGUGGAACUUGCAAAAAAAAAAUAUAUCGAGUAGUGGAACUUUGCAUAAAAUAUAUAUAGCGAGUAGUGGAACUUGCAAAUUUUUUUGAUAGAGGGCUCUGGCUUACGUUCACGCCAUGUCUAUUGUUAACAAUGAUUAAUAUAUAGUUUCAUUAAUGGAAUUUAAUAUCUUAAUCAUUAACUAAAAGCCAAGACGCAAACUAAUUAGAAUAAUAUUAUAAAACAUUUUUUGUUUUUGAAAUUCUUUUUUAGGUCAGAGGGGGAACCAUCUAUAACUAUCACAAAGCAUUGUGUGAUGUAUUUUGAGUUUUGGUUGUCAAAAAAAAAAGGGGGGGGGACAACACGCCCCCUCCCCCAUUUACACCCCUUGAAACAAGGGGUGCGCUGCUAGUGAUUUUGAAAAGUAGUAAAAUAUAAUUUUUGAUUUGAAUACUAGAUUUCUUUUUAAUUAUAAAGAUAAAUAUUUAUAUAAAGAGUCACUUUUGAUAAUAGGGUGUUUGAAACCAUCACCCUUACAUCCACCCAAAGGCAAUGAUGAAUAUUCUAUAUUUGAUUGUGGUCUGAUAGCUAAUAACAAAAACAUCUUGCAUAUAAAAAAAUUUACAUUUUCAUUAAAAAAAAACACUUUUUUAUAAAUAUAUUUUUUUAUAUCUUUUAUAUAUCUUUAUUGCCGGUAAGGAUGGUGGUUUUGUGCCCCCUCUUACUCCCCGGAUGCGCCCGUAAUCUAGAAAUCUUUGUAAAUUUGUAGAUGACUCUUGUAUCUAUCUUUUGAUACCAAGAUAUAAACAUUUGGAUAAGAAUUGGUUAAGUUAUAAUAGUUUUAGUUAAUAAAAAGUUUAUUUUGA
Non-coding RNA from Hydra vulgaris (swiftwater hydra), 875 nucleotides. The record is from RefSeq and is a predicted model, not a curated record. NCBI's taxonomy places the organism in Eukaryota, Metazoa, Cnidaria, Hydrozoa, Anthoathecata, Hydridae.